Molecule: long non-coding RNA, 410 nt
Organism: Xiphophorus couchianus (Monterrey platyfish)
Lineage: Eukaryota; Metazoa; Chordata; Actinopteri; Cyprinodontiformes; Poeciliidae
Exons: 3
Source: RefSeq, a predicted model, not a curated record
UUAUGUAAUUACACAUAAAUACAUGUAUUUGUAUAUGUAUAUGUUUUUGUUUUCUUUCAUUACAAAAAUUGCAGAUAAUUGUUCUCCUUCUUCUUAAACCGUUAUGUUUUAAAUGACUGGCGUUAUACCAGAUUGCUUGUAUUUCUCCAACAUGCCUGCUGAGUUUCUGCUGAAUGAAUCCUAAAAAUAGGGCGUGGAGCUGGACUCAAAUUUGAUAAUUGUUGAAUUAAAGUCAAAAGUGCAAAACCUAAAGGAUUUUUAGAUGGCUUGGCAUCAUUUUCUUCUGCUAAGGGAAAAUAACCUGAUGAAUUUAACUUUACUUUUUCUUUGGUUUGUUAUUUUGUUUGUAUUUACCUUUAAUUCCUGUAAAGCACUUUGUAUUUUCCUUGUUGCUGUUGAUGUGCUAUAUA